This 460-nucleotide ribosomal RNA is filed under the name uncultured bacterium. RNAcentral describes it as "partial 16S ribosomal RNA". It matches the Rfam family "Bacterial small subunit ribosomal RNA", at positions 338 to 795 of the family's 1533-position model. The record is from RNAcentral.
CCUACGGGCGGCAGCAGUGAGGAAUAUUGGUCAAUGGACGCAAGUCUGAACCAGCCAUGCCGCGUGCAGGAAGACGGCUCUAUGAGUUGUAAACUGCUUUUGUACGAGGGUAAACGCAGAUACGCGUACCUUUCUGAAUGUACCGUACGAAUAAGGAUCGGCUAACGCCGUGCCAGCAGCCGCGGUAAUACGGAGGAUUCAAGCGUUAUCCGGAUUUAUUGGGGUUAAAGGGUGCGUAGGUGGUCGGUUAAGUUAGAGGUGAAAUCCCGGGGCUCAACUUCGGAAUUGCCUCUGAUACUGGUAGGCUAGAGAGUAGUUGCGGUAGGCGGAAGGUAUGGUGUAGCGGUGAAAUGCUUAGAGAUCUUACAGAACACCGAUUGCGAAGGCAGCUUACCAAGCUACUACUGACGUUGAGGCACGAAAGCGUGGGGAGCAAACAGGAUUAGAUACCCGAGUAGUC